UGCAGAUGGCAGGUGACCGAUCCGGCUUUGGCCGGAUAGGAAAGUCCGAACACCGUAUGGCAAUCAGCCCUGUGAAAACGGGGGAGUUUCCGUUCAAGCGGAGACGACAGAGAGUGUCACAGAAAACAAACCGCUUUCUCUCUCACCAGAGGAAGUCAGGGUGAAAAGGUGGGGUAAGAGCCCACCGCCCGAAGAGUAAUCGACGGGGCAGGAUAAACCUCUGAUGGUGCAAGGCCAAAUGGGAAGCAUGUCGGCCAGGCUCGGAUUCGUAGGAAUCCAGCUUCCAGGUAGGUCGCACCCCGCGCAAGUGGGGUAUCGGAGCAAUCCGGUAAGAUAAAUGGUCACCGCCCCGGUGAAAUCGGGGAACAAAAUUCGGCUUAUCGCCACCUUGGAAGG
Molecule: RNase P RNA, 396 nt
Filed under: Blastochloris sp.
Lineage: Bacteria; Pseudomonadati; Pseudomonadota; Alphaproteobacteria; Hyphomicrobiales; Blastochloridaceae
Description: RNase P RNA component class A
Rfam family: Bacterial RNase P class A
About the family: Ribonuclease P (RNase P) is a ubiquitous endoribonuclease, found in archaea, bacteria and eukarya as well as chloroplasts and mitochondria. Its best characterised activity is the generation of mature 5'-ends of tRNAs by cleaving the 5'-leader elements of precursor-tRNAs.
Source: RNAcentral